UACAGAGGGUGCAAGCGUUAAUCGGAAUUACUGGGCGUAAAGCGCACGUAGGCGGUUUUUUAAGUCAGAUGUGAAAGCCCCGGGCUCAACCUGGGAAUUGCAUUUGAAACUGGAAAACUAGAGUGUGUGAGAGGGGGGUAGAAUUCCAAGUGUAGCGGUGAAAUGCGUAGAGAUUUGGAGGAAUACCAGUGGCGAAGGCGGCCCCCUGGCACAACACUGACGCUGAGGUGCGAAAGCGUGGGGAGCAAACAGG
This 253-nucleotide ribosomal RNA is filed under the name uncultured bacterium. Its description in RNAcentral is "partial 16S ribosomal RNA". It matches the Rfam family "Bacterial small subunit ribosomal RNA", at positions 524 to 776 of the family's 1533-position model. The record is from RNAcentral.